CAUCUAGUGCUGCAAUAAGUGCAUCUCUCUGUUAACCCCUUUCAGCUGGGGCCACAAAAGGCUUGGGAAGAGCCCUUUGAACCCCUUCUGGGAAGUGUAUUGCAUAAGCAACAAGCAAGCAUUUCUAAAAUCAACCUCUUGUGCAGUCAAGGUCAAAAGAAAGAUGGAAAUACUCAGAAAGGAUCACAAGCAGGAGUAUAUUUGAUAACAGAUGGUAAAACUGCAAAACUGUCUCCGCUUCAUUAGCGCCCCUGGCAAGCCUUCCUAUAUAAGUGUCAGAUACUCGUCCUUCAAAAGUCACCCACUGAGGAAAGCAGAUUCUUCUUUGUGAAGGAUGUGAAGGGGAAACAUGAAGGAAAAGUAAGUGAGAGUUUUGCUUUUCCCCUUACAGAUUGAAGCAGUACAGCAUAUAACAGGAUUGCAAGUCAAGCUGUUGAGGACUUUCCACAUGAUUCCAACCAGCUUUUAUUUAAAACCAGUAAAAAUGUUUAUUUGGAAGGACUACAAUAGCUUUCCUGAGGGUUCACUAAAAGAGCUUAACUGUCCAAUUUGAAUGUGAGCAAUAGUGCACAAUCUCAGCUGAAUGCUCCUUGUUCUCAAACACUGACUAACCCAAGGAAUGUGAAUUAACACAAACACAACUUUAUCCUGCUGUGGAGGAGGAGGAGGAGGAGGAAGGGGAAUAAAUAUGUUAGAUUACCUGCAGGCCAAACUCCCUAGGAAGUCAGUGGGAGCUUUACUAGUGGAAGGACAGCAUGACCAGACAUAAAUAUAAAGGCGAGAGGAUGCUAAGAAAAUAUUUUCCACACUUUUGUUUGGGAUUCAUGAAGUCUAGUAAGUACAGAGGGCAGGAACACUAUUACAGUGAAACUCUCUGUUGCUUUAGCAUCGCUUUCUGGCUGACUCUAUUUUCCCCUUUGUGCCUACUUAGAAAAAAAAUAAAUUACAAAGUUGUCUGAUGGUACAAAAAUGACAGUUCUAAUGAGCAUCAAAUAAACUCAGUUUAGGUGUGUGCAGUGAUAUUUAGCUGUCUGGACAGAUGCUUUUGACAAUCCUCCUACAUCUUUCCCAUCACCUUUUCAUUACUCUGUUCAGAUCUUUAGGCAUUAGACUUUGCCUCUGAUAUCCAAACGUGGAUUCUUUAGGUUAAGGAGAAGUAUAAUACCUGUUUAUCUUACUAAGAUAGGUGUCUAAGGCAGUCUGUCAUUUGAAACAAACCAUAUUUUCUUAUUACAGAUAUAGAAGAUGAUGCAAUUUUUGAAGUGUUUCCUCUUUUUAGAAAGAAUUACAUUAUUAAGAAAUUAACGUGGAGAAAACUUGAAAUUAAUUAAAAUCAGCCACUAUUGUUUUAACAAGCAACUGUUGACUGUGUUUGGCCUAAAAACAAAUGAUUAGUGACUAGGAGCUUUGCUUAACCAAAGUUAAGAAAUAAACAAAAUUUGCAGAGUUAGCUGAUUUUGCCUGACAUACACAAAUGCACUUCCAGUCUUCCCUGGCUGUCUACAAUGAGAUCAGAAGUAAUUUAGUAUGAGUCAGGUGGAGGUGAAGAAAAACAGUCAAAUGUACUUGUAUUUGCAAGCAAUGUCCAUCAAAAUUCAAGAAUGGCUGGAUUUGAGUAAAUGCUGAUCUUUUCAUAGACAGUUCCUACACAUUCACUGAUCUAGCAUACCAGAUACAGUCCAGAGAAUCUUGCUUUAUACAGAGAUAUGCAGCUUUGCAUUUAAUCUUAAUAUUCAGAGACUGUAUUCCUUUUAGUUGCUCAAGUGUAACACUAUAAUGGUUAUGUAAACUGGUGCUUACAUUGAGAUGUUAUUUUGACAUGAAUUUUGGUGCCAUAUGUAAACAUCAAAGGUGUAUAAUAACCACCCUCGGUACAGGUCCCAGUUCCAUUUAGGAAGAGGAAAUAUUGUGAUUUUUUUUUUUUUUUGACAAAAUGGCAAUGUGAAUUUAGAUUUUUGCACAACUGAAUUGCAGUUUGUAAAUAAAAGCAGCACACUCAAUUAGAAGUGGGAUAACAGUGGAUUUGUUGCCUGACUCUACCAAUGAUUUUCUUAAUAUGCAAUCCACUUGUUAAUGAUGUUAUCAGUUAUUUUACUGUAAAUUAGCUAUUGUAAGCUUCAGGUCUUUCUGCAAUGUCUGUGUUAGGUUACAGAAGCAUAAAUCAAACUCCCAUCUCUUUUUACAUCCAUAACCAUAAUGUACGGCUUUUAUUAGGAAAUGUUAAGUGUCUUAAUAAUGUCUUUUUAAUGGACAGUGUGUGCAUGUGUUAAUGAGGAAAGCCAUUUUCUUUCAUGCAAAAUAUUAGUGCAUGUGGCCUUCAUCUCCAUAGAUACAAGUUAAAGAAUCAUAUUUAACUCACAAAAUAUUCACUGUAUUCAUAUUUAUCUAAUUUUAACAAUCCUUUAAGGAAAGAACAAGUUAGAAGUAAAUCAGAAGUUGAAUUCUAACAGGCAUGCAGAAGUGAUUGUGAAUAAAUGGUACAAAAUCCACUCUAAAAACCCACUCCCAACAAACCCAAAUUUUAUAAUUUACUACUGCUAAAUCGAAAUACCCUUAGAGAAUUUGUAUCCUUCUAGAAUUCCAGCCUGUGCAUCACAAAGACUCCUAGUAUUGGUUAUAAAUCUUUGUCCUUCUCAUAAAAUAUCAUAAUGCCUCCAAGCAAAAGGGUGUUUUAACUUCUGUAUCCUUUCCACUGGGACAACGUUAUCCAUUUGAACCGCUUUUGAACCGCUUCCCAAAAUCUUGAACAAGCACAUUACUUUCACUUGAAAUGUGUUUUACCAACAGAUUCCAGGGUACUAGAGAGAUCUGCUUUUCACAUUGUCAGCUAACACUGGGCUUGUUAAAUUAAUGGAAACCAAGCAUUUUGAAGGAUACCCUACAGCCUUGCAUUUCCAUGCUCCCUUGGCAGAAAUCAGGGAUUUGAAAGCUGCAAUACAACAGCAUCAUCUUUUCAUCUUGUGGUAAGGAAUCUAUUAUUCCUUUAUCCUCCAUGCUGUUUAAAGGAAUUCAUUUAAAGUAUGAACUCCUUUGUUCAGGGAGGAAGUCUCCAAAUGAUACGCAAACAAGAACCUUUAGAAAUGUAGCAAGAUAAAAUUCCAGGCUCUGCUCCAGCUUUCCCCAUUCAUUCAGUUUGCAGAACUGGUGUCUCCCUGCUGGAGAUCUCUGCUCAGAUCAAGUCUCCGCCAGCUGCUAUUCCACCACCCAUUCAUACAUGGCCAGCUCCCCUCUCCUUGCUCCUUGCACCUCUACUUCUCUUUCCUCCAUCCAUCCAAAUCUCUCCCUAAUCUGAUACCAUUUCUUUGAUCCUUCUCAGGAACACUGAUCACCCUCCCCCACCAAGGCACCACUCAUCUCUACCCAGGGCUGGCAGCAAUUAAGCUGGAACAAAGGUCCAUUUAAGAGUAAAGCCUAUGCCAACCAAUUUCUUUAUAUAAAGAAAGCACUAUCCUCCAUCUGUUUCCCUAGUUAUCAAAUUGACUAUCUUGGGAGUUAAUCCUGCUGCUGUUCCUAAAGCAAAUGUUUUCAGUACUUUUGAUUUCAGGAGCAGAAUCAGGCCCUCAUUAAUGUAAUUAUCCUCAUAGCAUGAGGAGGUGCCUACUUGAAGCAAUCGGAUGACUGUUACAGACCAUUUUUAUCCACACCUAUUCUGUGAACUGCACCAGUGUGCAUUCCCUUUCCAAAACAACUGCAGGCACCAGGAGGGGAGGAGCUGUCCUUCAGUAGCAGGCAAGAAACCUGUCAAACACAGUGUCCCUUCAACAUGAAUGAAACCAUUUUCUCUGAUUAAUACUUUGCAUUUCCCACAAGGGAAAAAGACAGAGUGAGCAGCUGAAUUACCCAUUUUCAGAGAAGCAUGUUCAUAAAUAUUUAACUUGGUAUGUAUGAGAAAAGAGAAAGGCACUGACUUCCUUUCCAGUCCAGGCUGAAACUCUCCAAAUCCCCUGGUACCACUGAGACUGCCUGCUCCCAUAAUCCUUCCUCCAUCUCGUAAAGAGCCAUUAGCUUGUAACAGGGCUGGACAAGGUGUCUCUCUUCACUGGGGGAUGUCUGACUGUAAAAAUCUAUGCAUAGAGGAAAAUGAUCUGGUGUAAUGGAGACCUCUCUGGCCCAUGACUGGGACCUGUCCCCAAGCUGUUCUAGGAGUUUUAGGAGCCUAUUAGAAAAUACUACUGGGUCUCUGGAGGCCCACAUCUGAGUUCACAAGCUUGGGCCCUGGCGUCUACUCGUAUGCAUGGGGCCUGCUUGAGCGUGUGGGUUACAUCCCCACAGAGCCCACAUGGUUUUUGUAUUGCCACACACACGGAUGGCUGCUCUGCUCUGACAGUGGAGAGAACCCUGGUGAUGCUGGAAGUGGAACCACGGGGAAGUUUGAGUGUUUUGAUGAGGCUGUUGAUUG
Non-coding RNA from Cyanistes caeruleus (blue tit), 4399 nucleotides. The record is from RefSeq and is a predicted model, not a curated record. NCBI's taxonomy places the organism in Eukaryota, Metazoa, Chordata, Aves, Passeriformes, Paridae.